UGAAAAGGGACCGACCUUCGGGAGCCUAUACAGGUGUUGCAUGGCUGUCGUCAGCUCGUGUCGUGAGAUGUUCGGUUAAGUCCGCUAACGAGCGCAACCCUCGUCGUAUGUUAUAUGUGUCAUACGAGACUGCCGGUAAAAAGCCGGAGGAAGGUGAGGAUGAUGUCAAGUCAGCAUGACCUUUAUAUCCAGGGCUACACACACGCUACAAUGGUCUGUACAAUGGGUAGCCAAGCCGCGAGGCGGAGCCAAUCCUGAAAGCAGGCCUCAGUUCAGAUUGCAGUCUGCAACUCGACUGCAUGAAGCCGGAGUUGCUAGUAACCGCAGGUCAGCAAUACUGCGGUGAAUACGUUCCCGGGUCUU
This 363-nucleotide ribosomal RNA is filed under the name uncultured Anaerolineaceae bacterium. Its description in RNAcentral is "bacterial SSU rRNA". It matches the Rfam family "Bacterial small subunit ribosomal RNA", at positions 1002 to 1382 of the family's 1533-position model. The record is from RNAcentral. Lineage: Bacteria; Bacillati; Chloroflexota; Anaerolineae; Anaerolineales; Anaerolineaceae.